GAUGAACGCUGGCGGCGUGCCUAAUACAUGCAAGUCGAGCGAACGGACGAGAAGCUUGCUUCUCUGAUGUUAGCGGCGGACGGGUGAGUAACACGUGGAUAACCUACCUAUAAGACUGGGAUAACUUCGGGAAACCGGAGCUAAUACCGGAUAAUAUUUUGAACCGCAUGGUUCAAAAGUGAAAGACGGUCUUGCUGUCACUUAUAGAUGGAUCCGCGCUGCAUUAGCUAGUUGGUAAGGUAACGGCUUACCAAGGCAACGAUGCAUAGCCGACCGGAGAAGGUGAUCGGCCACACUGGAACUGAGACGCGGUCCAGACUCCUACGGGAGGCAGCAGUAGGGAAUCUUCCGCAGAGGGCGAAAGCCUGACGGAGCAACGCCGCGUGAGUGAUGAAGGUCUUCGGAUCGUAAAACUCUGUUAUUAGGGAAGAACAUAUGUGUAAGUAACUGUGCACAGCUUGACGGUACCUAAUCAGAAAGCCACGGCUAACUACGUG
This 497-nucleotide ribosomal RNA is filed under the name uncultured bacterium. Its description in RNAcentral is "partial 16S ribosomal RNA". It matches the Rfam family "Bacterial small subunit ribosomal RNA", at positions 28 to 507 of the family's 1533-position model. The record is from RNAcentral.